Molecule: long non-coding RNA, 2718 nt
Organism: Macaca mulatta (Rhesus monkey)
Lineage: Eukaryota; Metazoa; Chordata; Mammalia; Primates; Cercopithecidae
Source: Ensembl
UCUCAGGAUGGUGAGUCUCCUGACCCCUAGUGUAAUGUCCUUCCCACCACCACAGAGCUGAUUUGUGAAAACCAGACACCAACACUUGGAUUCUGAAAUUCCAACCUCACUUGAACGAAGUUUACAAAGCGUUUGGUGGUCUGUCUUCCUGAGAUCAGGCUUAUCUUGGAGUCAGGACUCUCCUGAAGAAGGAACACACUUUGGGACUUCAGGCCAGUUUGGGGCCCCUCCACUUCUCCCAGCGGCCUGGAUGCCUCAUUUGCAUGUGGCGUUAGCCAAGCUAAUCAAAGAGCAGGGAUUAAAUAUGAUCGCUGUGAGAUGACAUUGCAAGAGCAGGCUGGAUACAUUUUCAAGUGGCCCAACCUUUGGAGGUGAAUGCUGUUGGGAGAGGUGGCUUCUACUCCUGGAGGGCAACAAAAGCUUCCUGACUCAUCUUCCUGCCUGGCCCCUCUCUAGUCUAUUCUCAGUCCAGUGGGUUAGAUGGUUCUGCUAAGAUACCAAUGGAUCAUGUAAGUCCUUUACCCCAAACCCUCCAUGGCUUCCGUCUCAGUACAAUAACUUGCAGGCACCACCCAAUCUGUCCUUCCCUACCUCUCUGACCUCAUCUCUUAGCACGCCCUCCCCUCUUUCCACUUCCACUCAGGAAUUCCUUAUUACGUUCCUUAAACACACCAGGCUUGCUCCUGCCCCCGACAUGGUCCUUGCUGAUUCUGUAACAGUGAAACAGCCAAAGAACUAACUAACAAAGCCUUUUAUUUUUUUCGUUUUUAUUUUUGAGACAGUCCCACUCUAUCACCCAGGAUGGAGUGCAGUGGCACGAUCUCGGCUCACUGCAGCCUUGCCUCCUGGGUUUAAGCGAUUCUCCUGCCUCAGCCUCCUAAGUAGCUAGGAUUACAGGUGCCCACCACCACGCCCAGCUAAUUUUUGUAGUUUUAGUACAGAUGGGGUUUCACCAUGUUGGCCACGCUGGUCUUAAACUCCUGACCUCCAGUGAUCUGCCUGCCUUGGCCUCCCAAAGUGCUGGGAUUACAUGCAUGAGCCACCAUGCCUGGCAAUGAGGCCCUUUAGUUAGCUGCACGGUUUAGUUUGAGGAGCUAUUCCUGCAUAUACGCUAGGAUAAUUUUAGAGCACUGAGGUAAUAUGCUAAAACAGUAAUCAUGUAGUUUUAAAAACUAAUUCUGGGAUGAAGGGGGAAGUAUGUAAACAACUAUGUUUUGUUAAAGAUUUAUAGGAGCAUUGUGACCUGACCAAGGACAAGGAGGUUCUCAGACGCAUGCUGGUGCCCAGAUGUCUGCGGCUGUGGAUCAGCCCUGCGGUCAUUGAUCCCAGCCUCUCUCUCUUCUCCCUGCCCUGAACAUAAAAAGAACCUGAAAUUUGUACUGACUUAAGAUGGUACCUUGGGAUGCUAAUCUACCAUCUUCUUUGUUUGUUAUUAUUUAAGAAACCUUAAGUUAUUUGAGGGAAGAGAUAGGAUUUCCAAACUCUCAUACAACUUAGUUCUGGUUACACAGUAGGCACUUAAAAAUACAUGAAAUAAUGAUGUAAAUUUAUUUGAAAAAUGUAAAAAAAGCUGUAAGUGAUAGGAAUCCUAUGGUGAACUACCUUAUCAAGUGAUAAUUAUUUUCUGUUUGGAUUUUGGUCCAGGUCUAGGUGGUCUACACCGGUGGUUUGUAAACUUGGGUGUGGGUCAGAAUCACUCCAGGAAUUUGGUAAAUAGACAGAGGCCAGGGCCCUAUCCUACUUGAAUGAGCCCUGGGGUCUGUGUUCUUUAUUGGUGCUCCAGGUGGUUCUGAUACAGGGGCCCAUACAUUAGGCGUUCUUAAAAUGUGUUCACCUGUAGGUAAUUCUUUGCGUGUUCCAGAGAUGAAGAGAUACAGGCAUGAAAACUGGGGAAGAGCCCCAUGACUGUGAGGAAGGAAGGGAUUUCUUGGGACCCUCUUAGUUGAGUUUGUUUUUCUCCCCAUUUCUUUGGCUUAUCUGUGGGAACUUCAUCACAUAACUGCUUUCUCACUUUUUCUUCAUUCUCCUUGCCCCACCCUACCCCAGGUGUUCUCACUGUUACCCUUUCCACAAAUGGAUACAGAAAUAGCCAGAACCACCCAAAAGAGAAACAGAGAAGAGUAAAAUGGGUUUUUAAACUAUGCCUCCAUUUUUGAACACUUGAAAAACAGGCCAUUCAUAGUCUUUCUUGUAUGAUUAAGAACUCCAUUAGUACCAUUAGCACGUUAUAAGUAGUGACUUGGAACAAAGUAGGUGUAUCAUAAUCCUUCCUCGAAUAAGGAAAUAACUAACAGCCCCGAAAGAUGCCUUCGAUUGAAUAGGAUCAACUUGGUUUUAUUCUUUGCAGAAGUGAUUUCUCUAUAUUGGGAGGCACUUUGUUGAUUCAUUCAAUAUUUAUUAAGCACUUUCUGUAUUCCAAGCAACAAUAAAUAAAACAAAUUAUUUCAUUGAUUAAGUUCUAGUAUUAGCAGUCUAUUAGCAAUCUUGUGUUUGGGUACUUGGUUCUUAUUGGCUCACACCUAUGGUAAAUGUGUUAAUUAUUUUCUCUUGUAAGAAUUCCCUGUUUUUGUAGUGGGAAGUGAAAAAAAAUUCCCGGGAGGUUACACCCUUUGAAGGACACACAGUUUCCCCUCCUAGGGGCUGCCUGGCUCUUUGGUAAGUCCCAAUCUUGGUCUUCAAGGUCUGUCUCGCUUCCUGUCUAACUCUCAAAGCAACCAG